CUGAAUAUUAUGAUAUAUUAAAUAAAUCAAAGGGACUUGAUCACUUUUCCCAAAAUACACGUAAAGCAUGAAUCCUCAUACUGGUAAGAAAAAACAGGGAGGUUUACUGUGGAGACUGAGCAAAAAUUCCACGUAAAGCAUGAAUCCUCAUACUGGUAAGAAAAAACAGAGAGGUUUACUGUGGAGACUGAGCAACCGAUAAAGCAACAGACAUAAAUUUAACGUACUCGUCAACAACUUCAUUUAGGGACAAAAUCUUUAUCCCAAAUUGUUCCAAUGCAUCAGAACAAUCCAUAUGUAAAGCACCUAAAUAUGAGAUCAUCGAUCCAGAAUCGUUUUUAUUGAGUGAUUUCAUAGCUUCUUCGAGAUCGCUUACUGCACUAUCCAUUGACUCUUUACAAGUACUCAGAAUUGAAUCUUUUGUUUGUGGUUCAACACCUGUGAUUUUUGGAAGAAAAUCGUUGGUCGCAUUUUGGAUCCUAUAUGCCAUUUCUGUACAUGCAUUUAUACUUUUGACCAUUGCUUCAUUCCAAUUUGUUGCUCCGUUUACAACCCUAUUGCACAAAUUUGGUAUGGUGCACGUCUUGCAAUAUGGGCUCAUUGGAAUUACUUGAGCCUCACUGCUCUUUAUGAGGACAUAAAACGUAGCCACGAUUAAUAAUAAACAAUAAUUCAUCUUUCUUGAAUUCAUAGUUUUCAUCUUUUAUCCCUUAUUAUAUAGGCUCAGAGAAUUGUUCUGUUUCCCUCCUUUUUUUCUCGGGGCCUAUUGGAAUUGGGAUGUAAACAGAAGAAAUAAUUUUAAUGUUUUAAAAGGGUAGGUUGUAUUUAUGAGAAAGGUUCGAAUUGUAAAUGCCACUAAAAUCUAGAGGUUCUGCGCAUUCAUAGAAAUUAUAUUUUGAUUGUGCAGUUAAUGUUUCUCUAGAAAAAAAAUUCCAUUGUGAGAAAAAUGAGGUGUGCCCUCUAUUCUUUCUUUGUUUGACGGGGCAUAUCAAUUACAUAACAUGGAUUCUGGUUGUUUUUUAAAAAAAACAUUAGACGAACCUCUUCUAUUUUCCCUUUUAAUUUCUUUUUGUUAUUUUUUUUAAAACUAGAAAGUUGUUGUUGGAUUAAAGAUUUUUUGGUUAUGUUGAUUUUCGUGUUAUUUCUUCGAAUGUUGAAUGUUAGAUAAACCCUCACAUAAUCAAUGUCAGUUGUGUAAGACACAAACUAAAUUUAAAAUUUUUCUUUUUGCCUUUUUAAUAGAAAUGGAGCAAACAUAUGCAGGCAUGAUAUAGGUUAUCUUCGAUAAAACAGAUCUCCAUAGAUUUGUGAGUUGUAUAUAUAUUGUUGAAAAUUUUAUUUUGUGUUUACACAACUGACUCUAGUUGUGUGCGAUAUCUUUUUUGUCUCAUAACUGUGCGGUCCCAGAAUUUUUUCCACCCCAAUAUGUAAGAUAUAAUUCUAUAAAUAUGUAAGAUAAAAAGAGGCAUCACACAACUAAUGUUAGUUGCGUGAGGCAAGCCAUAAAAUUACAUAAGAAGGAUUGAAUUAGAAGCACAUCGAAAAGAUGUAGGUUCAGACGGGUGUGUGAAAAUCCGUACUAUCUUAACUUGCAAAAACUGAACUUGCUUCAAAUCUAUAUUAAAUGGUAGAUAGAUUUAAUAGUCAAGUUAAAAUAUUUGUAAUUGAUGCGAGCCAAGAAAAACGUAGAACAAUCAAGUUUACAUGAUGCUCUAGACUGCAUUGUCCAAAUAUUCAUUAAUAACUUUGUGUAGAAGAGUCAAAAUAACAAAUUCUGAUUGAACAUAUAGAAAUCAGAUUUCGAGAUCUACAAUAUUGGUAUAGAGAGUAUAAAACAAAUUUCUCAUAGAGCUUAGUAGCCCUAUCAUUGAUGCUCCAGGGCUGGGGUGGAUCUAGCGUAGUGGUGCCGGGUUCAAUUGCGCAUUAUUUUCGACGUGAAACAUAAUUAUAUAUAAAAAUUAUUUAAAAUAGGAAUAAAUAGUAGAUAUAAAUACAUAACUUUAGCAAUAUAAUUAGUUUAAUACUAAGACUUUUAGAGGUUGAGCUCAUAAAGUUCAAAUUUCGUAUCCGCCGCUGCUUCAGGCUACCACAUAUAUGUGAAAUAAAUCCAACUCUUCAAAAGUAAUUGUCUCUACACCAUCCAAAUUAAACUAUCCAGGAUCGUAUCAUUUCUAGUCCUUUCAUUAUGUGUUUAGACGUGCAAAAACACGAAAUUUAAACAACUAAGCACUAUAGAAAAAGGAAAAAAAUACAUCAAAAAAAAUAUAUGAAAACAGUAUAUAUUUAUGAAUUAAUUGCAAUCCUGCCUGAAUAUCAUGAUAUAUUAAAUAAAUCAAAGGGACUUGAUCACUUUUCUUAAAAUACAUGAAUCCUCAUACUGGUAAAGAAAGAAUAGAAGAGGUUUACUAUGGGGACUGAGCAACCAAUAAAGCAACAUACAUAAAUUUAACGUAGCGGCCAACAAAUUUAUUUAGGGGAAAAAACAUGAUCCCAAAUUAUUCCAUUGCAUCAGAACAAUCCAAAUGUAAAGCACCUAAAUUUGAUAUCAUCGAUCCAAAAUCAUUUUUAUUGAGUGAUCUCAUAGCUUCUUCUGGUCGCUCGCUGCAGUAUCCAUUGACUCUUUACAAGUACUCUGAAUUGAAUCUUUUGUUUGUGGUUCAACACAUGUGAUUCUCGAAAGAAUGUCGUUGGUCACGUUUUGGAUCCUAUAUGCCAUUUCUGUACAUGCGUUUAUGCUUUUGACCGUUGCUUCAUUCCAAUUUGUUGCUCCAUUCACAAUCUUAUUGCACAAAUUUGUAUAGUGCACGUCUUGCAAUAUGGGCUCAUUGGAAUUACUUGAGCCUCAUUGCUCUUUAUGAGGAUAUAAAAUGUAGCCACGAUAAAUAAUAAACAAUAAUUCAUCUUUCUUGAAUUCAUAGUUUUCAUAUUUUAUCCCUUAUUAUAUUUGCUCGGAGAAUUGUUCUGUUUCCUUCGUUUUUUUCUUGGGGCCUAUUGGAAUUGGGAUGUAAAUAGAAGAAAUAAUUCCAAUGUAUUGAAAAGUAGUUUGUAUCUAUGAGAAAGGUUCGAAUUGUAAGUGCCACUAAAAUCUAGAGGUUCUGCGUUUUCAUAGAAAUUAUUUUUUGAUUUUGUAGUUAAUAUUUCUCUAGAAAAAAAAUUCCAUUGCGAGAAAAAGACGCCGUUUUGCUUAAACUAAUCCUAGCCAUCUAGGAUUCAAGAUCUAACGACUCAGAACCCCUACACCUCAUCUCUAUCACCUCUCACAAGACAAACUUGACCCUGCCACCCACAGCCAUGAACUGCCGGUCGAAAACUGCCUCUGCCGGCGGUGCUCAUCCAAUGACCUCCUUUUUUACACAAUAGUCUCGCCUUGAUCCCCUCAUACCCAUACCACCAUUCAUCUCCCUCAAAUAUCACCAGAAAACGUCAAAUAUCCAAAAUCCUAGUGUGCCGCCAUUGGUUCCUCCGAGCGAUGUUGCCUCCAAAUGUUGCCCUAACAACCGAUGGCAAUCAACAUGUACUGAGCUUCGUCUCAUGCAUACGAAACCUUGUGGCUCUACUUACACGAUGUUCCGUUGUUCAUUGUCAAAAUCCAUGAGCUGCCAUGAGUGGGGCCAAUCAGGACGUCACAGGACAUAGCCAUGGCACGUAUCGGGAUUUUGUAAGACAUGGAUACAGUACGUAUUAGGACGUCGGAGGACAUGUCCAUGGCACGUGUCAGGACGUUCAUUGUCAAAAGCCAUCAGCUGCAACGAGCUGUACCAGACACAACCCAUAACAACCGAUAGCAAUCGACAACCUACUGAGCUUCGCCCCAUGUGCAUGGCACCUUAGACACUACUUGCACGACGCUUUUCCAUUCCGCUGCCAAAAGCCAUCAGCCGCCGCGAGCGAUGUCGCCUCCCGAUGUUUCCCACGACAACCAAUGACAAUCUAUAUGUAUUGAGCUUCACCCCAUGCGCACGACACCUUGCGAGGCUACUUGCAUGAUGCUCUGAUGUUCACCUGCCAAGAGCGGUGCCAGACACAACCCACAACAACCAAUGGCAAUCGGCAACUUACUAAGCUUCACCCCAUGUGUAUGACACCUUGUGACGCUACUUUCACGAUGCUCCGCCAUUCUAUUGCCAAAAGCCAUCAACCGCCAUGAGCGUUGUCUCCUCACGAUAUUGCCCGCAAUAACCGAUGCACGUCUUGUCAUGUCCUGACCCAUGCCAUGACCAUGUCCUACGAUGUCCUGACACUUCCUGACCCAUGCCAUGGCUAUGUCAGUCGACGUAGUGACAUGUCCUGGCACGUGCCAUUUCCACGCCCUGCCAUGUCCUGGCGCUACUCGCACGAUGCUCUGCCGUUCGUUGUCAAAAUCCAUCAGCUUUUACGAGCGGUACUAGACAAAACCUAUUACAGCCGAUGGUAAUCGAUAACUUACUGAGCUUCGCCCCAUGCGCAUGACACCUUGCGACGCUACUUGCAUGAUGUUUUGCUAUUCCGUUGCCAAAAGCUAUCGACUUCCACGAGCGAUAUCGCCUCCCGAUGUUGCUCGCAACAAGCGAUGCACGUCCCGACACGUCCUGACCCAUGACAUGGCCGUGUCCUACGACGUCCUGACACUUCCUAACCCGUGCCAUGGCAUGUCAUGCGACGUCGUAACACGUCCUGACACGUGCCAUUGCCACGUCUUGCCAUGUCCUAGCGCUACUUGCACGAUGCUCUGCAGUUCGUUGUCAAAAGCCAUCAGCUACCACGAGCGGUACCAGACAUAACCCAUAACAACCGAUGGCAAUCAGACGCUUAAUGGGCGUUUUGACAUAAGAAUUAUAAAUUUCUGAAAAACGUGUUUUUUUUAAAAGCGAUAAUGACAUUAGAAAAGUAGAGUUGUUUAUGAACAUGGAUAUAAUUUGAAGUUGUUUUUGAAUUAUUUUGAGUGAUUUGAAGUGAAAAAUAAUACUUUAUAAUUUUUCAAAUUUCUAAUAAAUCCAAAAUUCAACUUUAAGAGAAAUUUAAAAUUUUUAUGGACAAAUAAUAAUUCAAAAAAAAAGUAAAAGAAUUUCGAAACACGGAAAAUUUUUGAAGUUAAGUUAAAAAUAAUAUUUGAAAUUAUGUUUGAACAUACAUUUCACAUGAAAAAAUAUUUUUAUUUUGUGAGUGAAAAAAAAAUCGAUUUUUUUUGGAAAAGUAGCCUAUUGAAAAACUUAUGGACUAAUAUAUUUAUGUAAAAAUUCCCGAAUAAAGGGGAAAAAGGAAAUAUGGACAAAUUGAUCCGUAAUAGCAUAAAAAUGAAGCAAAUACCAUUAUUACCAAGUUUAUUGCUCUUUGCCAAGUCCUCGCCAUGAGAUCCUGUAUGAACUUCCUUGAUUUGAUUCCAGCACGUAGUUACAUUAAAUUUUUUACUUCUCCUUUAGAUUAAGUCCCUUUUUACUCCCUCCGUAUUUGUUUGACACAUCAAAACUACUCAACGAAUCAAUUUUUACAAUAAAAUUGAACUAGAAAAUUUUAUUUUCUUAAAAUCAAAAUUGAAAUCUGAGAGUUACAUUAUUUUUCCACGUGUCAGUAAUAUGGCCAGUAUACGUAAAAAGCUAGCAAGGGUUAACUGGGCCUGUUGGAGCUCCAUUGGCUAAGUAUGAAGAGUAGUGACAAUAAUAUUUGCUGUCAACUUCUAACUGCAGCUGACUUAAGCAUAAUACAUUUUCCCACGUGUCAGUAAUAUGGCCAGUAUACGUAAAAAGCUAGCAAGGGUUAACUGGGCCUGUUGGAGCUCCAUUGGCUAAGUAUGAAGAGUAGUGACAAUAAUAUUUGCUGUCAACUUCUAACCGCAGCUGACUUAAGCAUAAUACGAUAUAAUACGAUAGUUGAGGGACAAAUUUAAAAUUUUUCUUUUUGUUUUCUAAUAGAAAUGUGCAGCUGACUUAAGCAUAAAACGAUAGUCGAGGGACAUUUAGAAUUUUUCUUUUUGCUUUUUAAUAGAAAUGAAGCAAAGAUACGUAGGCAUGAUAUAGUUUAUCUUCAAGAAAACAGUUUUUUAUAAAUUUGUGAGUUGAAAAUUUUAUUUUGUGUUCACACAAUUAAUGUUAAUUGUGUGCAAUCUCUUUUUUGUCUCAUAAUUGUAUAAGAUAUAAAUUCACAAAUAUGUAAGAUAAAAAGAGGCAUCACACAACUAAUGUUAGUUGUGUGAGGCACGCCAUAAAAUCACUUAAGGAAGGAUUGAAUUAGAAGCACAUAUGAAAGAUGUAGGUUUAGACCAGUGUGUAAAAAUUCCGUACUAUCUUAACUUGCAAAAUUAAACUUGCUUCGAAUCAAUAUUAAAUGGUAGAUAAAUUUAAUAGUCAAGUUAAAAUAUUUGUAAUCGAUGUAAGCCAAGAAAAACCUAGAACAACCAAGUUCAAAUGACGCUCUAGACUGAAUUGUCCAAAUAUGUAUUAUUAACUUUGUGUAGAAAAGUCAAAAUAACGAAUACUGAUCGAACCUAUGGAAAUCAGAUUUCGAGAUCUACAAUAUUAGUGCAGAGAGUAUAAACCAAAUUGCUGAUAGAGCUUAGUAGCCCCAUCGUUGGCGCUUCAAGGCUGGGGUGGAUCUAGCGUAGCGGUGCCGAGUUCAAUUAAAUGCAUUACUUUUGAGGUGGAACAUAUAUUUAUACGUAAAAUAUAUCUAAAAUUGGAACAAAUAGUAGAUAUAAAUCUAUAACUUUAACAAUAUAAUUAGUUUAAUACUAAAAAUUUUAGAGGUUAAAACCCAUAAAGUUGAAAUUCUGAAUCCGCCGCUGUCCAGGGUACCACAUAUAUGAAGUAUAAAUCCAGCUAUUCGAAAGUAAUUGUCUCUACACCAUCCAAAUUAAACUAUCCAGGAUCGUAUCAUUUCUAGUCCAUUCAUUACGUGAUCGUACGUGCAGAACACGAAACUCAAACAACUAAGCGCAAUAGAAAAAAGGAAAAAAAAUAUAUCAAACAAAAUAUAUGAAGAUAGUAUAUAUUUAUACAUUAAUUGCAAUCCUGCCUGAAUAUUAUGAUAUAUUAAAUAAAUCAAAGGGACUUGAUCACUUUUCCCAAAAUACACGUAAAGCAUGAAUCCUCAUACUGGUAAGAAAAAACAGGGAGGUUUACUGUGGAGACUGAGCAACCGAUAAAGCAACAGACAUAAAUUUAACGUACUCGUCAACAACUUCAUUUAGGGAUAAAAACUUUAUCCCAAAUUGUUCUAAUGCAUCAGAACAAUCCAUAUGUAAAGCACCUAAAUAUGAGAUCAUCGAUCCCGAAUUGUUUUUAAUGAGUGAUUUCAUAGCUUCUUCGAGAUCGCUUACUGCACUAUCCAUUGACUCUUUACAAGUACUCAGAAUUGAAUCUUUUGUUUGUGGUUCAACACCUGUGAUUUUUGGAAGAAAAUCGUUGGUCGCAUUUUGGAUCCUAUAUGCCAUUUCUGUACAUGCAUUUAUACUUUUGACCAUUGCUUCAUUCCAAUUUGUUGCUCCGUUUACAACCCUAUUGCACAAAUUUGGUAUAGUGCACGUCUUGCAAUAUGGGCUCAUUGGAAUUACUUGAGCCUCACUGCUCUUUAUGAGGACAUAAAACGUAGCCACGAUUAAUAAUAAACAAUAAUUCAUCUUUCUUGAAUUCAUAGUUUUCAUCUUUUAUCCCUAAUUAUAUAGGCUCAGAGAAUUGUUCUGUUCCCCUCCUUUUUUUCUCGGGGCCUAUUGGAAUUGGGAUGUAAACAGAAGAAAUAAUUUUAAGG
This 7719-nucleotide long non-coding RNA is filed under the name Nicotiana benthamiana. RNAcentral describes it as "long non-coding RNA (NBEN_LNC011313)". The record is from RNAcentral. Lineage: Eukaryota; Viridiplantae; Streptophyta; Magnoliopsida; Solanales; Solanaceae.